CAACAUCUAUCUUCUUCCUCUCCAUAGCAACAAAGUUAAGACCACAGAAUGACGUAUGACUUUGAGUAAUUAAAAAACUUGUGCCACACAGUCAGAACAGGGAAUAAAUGUUCAAAUUUAAAGUGAGCCCGCAUAACCUCGCCCUUGAUCCAGUGUUAAAAAGGACUGUAGAACCCCGUUUGGCUCCAAAGGAGGAGCCCAGGACACCACCACCUCGCUGGGCCGGUCCUGGACGUGACGCACUGUUGGAGAGGCUAGGCCACGAGGAGGGGCUUGUCUGGUUGUUACAGUUACCCAGGGGCUACAGGUGUGUCCCGCUGUGUUGUGAGUACAGACGCUAAACUCGUACUGGGUCCAGGGACACAAACCAGUUACUGUGUAGGAGAAGGAUUCAGCUUUCUGUGGGGAUGUUUCUGUGAAGAGCACCUGUGGAAGGCAUGAUGGAUGAUCAAGUACCCUGAUGACUCCAUUUGGAGCAUGUGGCUCAUCCCAGCUGAGCAGCAAUGCUCUGCCCUCCUCUCUCUGCUCCACUGUGAAGUUCCCCAGGCCGGUCGGAGAAGCCUCCAGGGUCAUGACCUCCACCCAUGGACUGGAAACGCUGCCUGAAGGGCUUCCACACAGAAACUGUACUGGCUGUAUGGGUCAAGACCAAAGACUGCUGCCUCCAACACUGAACCCUGAGACACAGAAAACAUGUUACAGAACAUUGAUUCUCAAAUUGUGGCACAAGUAAUGCUACCUGGGUUGACUUUAGUGGUAUUCAAAACAAUUUUUGGCACAAUGUUUUUAACACAACUAAAACUAACUUUAAAGUCGAGCUAUUGUAAACCUACCAACACUCAAAAAGAUGUGUUGUUUAAGCACAUUGAUCUUUGCUUCAUUAAAAACAU
Long non-coding RNA from Girardinichthys multiradiatus, 890 nucleotides. RefSeq lists it as uncharacterized. The transcript is spliced from 4 exons. Lineage: Eukaryota; Metazoa; Chordata; Actinopteri; Cyprinodontiformes; Goodeidae. The record is from RefSeq and is a predicted model, not a curated record.